AAAUGCGAUAAGUAAUGUGAAUUGCAGAGUUCAGUGAAUCAUCGAAUCUUUGAACGCACCUUGCGCUCCUUGGUAUUCCUUGGAGCAUGCCUGUUUGAGUAUCAUGAAAUCUUCAAAGUAAAUCUUUUGUUAACUCAAUUGGUUUCUACUUUGGUAUUGGAGGUCUUUGCAGCUUCACACCUGCUCCUCUUUGUUCAUUAGCUGGAUCUCAGUGUUAUGCUUGGUUCCACUCGGCGUGAUAAGUUAUCUAUCGCUGAGGACACUGUAAAAGGUGGCCAAGGUAAAUGCAGAUGAACCGCUUCUAAUAGUCCAUUGACUUGGACAAUACUUUUAUGAUCUGAUCUCAAAUCAGGUAGGACUACCCGCUGAACUUAAGC
RNAcentral lists this unclassified non-coding RNA (377 nucleotides) under plant metagenome. RNAcentral's name for it is "partial contains 5.8S ribosomal RNA, internal transcribed spacer 2, and large subunit ribosomal RNA". The stretch from base 1 to 104 matches the Rfam family "5.8S ribosomal RNA", at positions 51 to 154 of the family's 154-position model. The record is from RNAcentral.